Varroa destructor (honeybee mite) is the source of this 14552-nucleotide RNA transcript. It is a transcript of the gene named protein held out wings, with no coding region annotated. NCBI's taxonomy places the organism in Eukaryota, Metazoa, Arthropoda, Arachnida, Mesostigmata, Varroidae. The record is from RefSeq and is a predicted model, not a curated record.
CUUGUCCGCUUACAUCUCGCCUCAUAUAAGUUGACAAUAGAGAUGAACAAAGAACAAGCCUCAAGUGAACACUGUGACAGGGUAACAAAGCACAAAAGUUCAAUCAAUUUCUAAAGAUAGAAUAGACCAGUAUACGUACAUCAUAAAUUAUAACCAACUGUCUGUCAGCCGACAUGAUCUUAAUCCAAAGGACCUGUAAUGAAAUACAUGCAAUACGCGAGGACAACAGGCAGAGACUGCUUGUGAAUCGGGGAUGGCAACAUAGCAGUGAUUUGUGAUUAAACUAUGCGUACUGCGGCUGAUUCAACUCAUUAUUUAAUAUUUAUUAAUUGUUUCAGUACACGGCAUUAGGACUGGUUGGAGAACCAGAUCGUUUUCUUUCACCUACUCAGAUGAGGCUUACGCUCAGUUAGCUAAAUAACAGUACGCGCUGACAUAGAUACAUAAAAUAGAGAACCCAGGUAUGCUUUAUCACGAGAGUGCUUUAAUCUGAAAAACAAUAUUAUAACUAAAAUAGCUAAAAACAAAAGAAGAGGAAGGCAAAACCAGAUAUAUGUGUGAUUGCUCUCUGGAGAGAACGUACAUUUUAUUAUAAUGCCAAGGGUACAGAAUAAUAGAUGACAUAACGAUAAUAAUAAUUAACUUUAGGAGAGCGUAACGAAGCCAGUAAGUUUAUUUGUUUUGUUUAUUUCUAGCCAAAUCCAAAAUAAAUGUUUUGGACUUCAUGUCCGAUAUUGGCGUCAAGCAGUACUUCGAACAUGUUUGCCUCACCGUGACGACAAGUUCUACUUAAUUAUUUUGGUGCCUCGAAUCAGACGGUACCUUCGUUCAGUCGUUGUAGGAAUUGUCCAGAAGGGUCAACUAAAAUGAAACUUGAGAUUUAUUCACUUGAAUCGAUUAUUAAACGACGAUGAUACGUGAUGAUUGCUUGUCAACGGCCCUGCGUCUCCACGAUUAUAGAGUUCAAGACGGUAGAUGAAAACAGCAUUAGUUGCGUAAGUUCACGUGGACACGUUUUUUUUUUUCGUGAUGACUAAGACAAUUAUUUUGGCUUCAUGAAGGCCAGGUACUGUAUCGAUAGGUAAUAUUCAUGCUGAUUAGGUAUAGCUCUAGGCUGUUUUAUUUCCGAUUAGAAGUUAACUGAUAUCGUUAGAAUAAAAAUGCACGGACAAAACCAUGCCUUGAAGGUUUAGCUUCAUUUUUGCGUCGAGGACAAGUCUUACACAAGAAACGUUAUGUGAAGUCAUAACGAAUUUCGAUUUAUGAAAUGUUAAAUAAAAGAUAAAUGUUUUAUUUAGAACACUGUGCUGUCUUUUUGAUGUCGGUAAGAUUAGCGAUAAAAAGAUAUUGUCCUAUAUUAUUUUAGUUCAUCAUGUUAACAGCAAGCCGCUUAAGUCGUUUGAGUUUAUUUAUUUCGUAUAAAGAUCUCUCACAGAAGUUUACUUUUGUUUGCUCUAAUUUACCGAAAGCAAAGCAACAAUAACAGGUGUGAAACACUAAGGUCUUCGCCCGCAUUUUUCAAGGUUUGGUUCCGAGCGCCGACAUUAAUAAUGGCUACCCGAUUAGUUGCGUAUGUGUGAAAUAUUGCGCUUCGUCCCUAAAAUGACUUCCCGAUCUCCGUCAGCCGUAUGUUGUUUUUCCAGUGGCUGGUUAUAUAUGCCUCAAGUGCAGGUUGGUGCGUUUCCGUUACUCGCGCUAUUACGACCUGCGACUGCAGUUCAAUGCGGCAUUCGCUUGAUUUUUUGCCGUAGUAUAUCAUUAUAUAGUGUGCGUGCUAUACAGUAUACAGUUUAAAUCUUCUAUCCACCAUGAAAACGCGCGUCGUCUGCUCUUUCCCACCGGAGGCACCAGACGACAAAAAACGGCAAGGACAGCGGCGCCGUUGACGCUGAGUCUUUUAUUGCCAUCUGCCGCUCGAUUCCUGUCUGCCUCUUGUCACAGACUGGUCACUGCAAUUGCAGUGAAGUGUAUUUCCGUCUUCGUAUACUGAUCCCUUGCGUACUGUCAAAUUCCGAGCAGAUGUUGUCGACAUCGUCUUCUCUCCGGUGUCGUCUGCUGCCCGUCAUUGUUGGAGUUUGUGUUCUCUUCCACACCAGCAAUCGCACCAAUGGUAAUGGUCGGUCGCCGCUGAUUGACGGCCGCCGAUUGACGGCCGCCGCUGCCACUGUCUCUUUGCGUGUGGCUAUGACGCUGCUGCUAGUGCUGCUGCUGUCGCCUCAAGCGCUGUUUUUGCUGUAGCUGAUGCUGCGACUAAAAGUAGCAUUAACAGCCGCAACAAAUCAAGUUGCUCCGCCCGCCAUUGCCGCUUCUGCUGCUUUAGCGCCAUGGCGGACCCAGCACGACGUUACGAUCGACGACAACAACAACAACGACUACAAGCACAGUGAACCAACAGACGAUACAGAAAAAAAAAAGAGAGCUAUCUGCCAACGACGGCAGCGGCGGCAAGAGUUAUCAGAAAUCUAUUAUUGACCAUUACCAGCGUUCGAUGCUGCCAUCACUGCUUGUUGCUCAGUACCGGCGAUAACGACACGAACAACCGCAGCAAGAACAGCACUCACAGAGACUCAGCAUCGACUCAUCUCGACUGGCGCUCCGGUCGCCGGUUAGCGAUGGUCUAGCGGCGGUCAGUAGCAGCAGCCAGUCAGGGAACGAACGUAUGAGUGAUUGAAUGACUGAGAGAGCCAUCAUGAGCUCUCUGUCAGCCUGACUGCCUAUUACCAGCUAUCGAGCUCGAGUAGAUGCGGUGAACAGCAGCGAGUGGUGCUGUUAGAGACUCGAUAAUAUUCAGAGAGAAAAGUGGCGAGUGCUCACGACUUUUGACAGCCAGACGAAAUACGGCGAGAUUAGAAAGCCUGCAUUGGUCUCUUUAAGUUGACUCAAAGAAACACUUAGGCGAGUUUGCGGGUACUCCACAGCAGCUCCAUCCUCUGCAGCUUUUCCCUAGGUUCGCUACUACAUUCGACUAAUGAAAGAAUAAAAAGAACACCAGGUUCGACCAGUUGUGUUUGUGUACCCAAAGUUGAUUUGGGUGCGCUACGGCGCGAAUAACAGUGGUAACUUAUCAUCGUAAGCAUUAUCGCCAUGUCGUCGUGACACCGUGAGCGUGUCUCCGUGCAUGUAUGUGAUUCUGACAGUCCGUUUUUCAGCAAAACGUAACUCAUCCGUUUAGCAGGCCUUUUGGAAUUGUUCUUGUUGUUCCUGUUGUUAGUGGCAAACGAACACAGCGAAUCAGCGGUCCCAAGCGCUCUAGCUAUCGACACUUUCAACAGCAGCAACUGCCGCAUCUAGCAAAAACGUGACAACACCCAGCAGACGCAGGCGUUCGUCAGUGUAUACGUUAAUGCAGUAAUAAUAAUACCGCCGGUGUUUUUUAAUGACGAUAUUGUUGCAAUAACCGAGAUAGAUGGAUGGUCAUCAUGGCUUGGCUGCAGAGAUAGCCGACUAUCGUCGCUCUCGUUUCGUACGUAGUGGCAUCCAGCAACACCAUACUCAUGCCGUGUUUCUGGUACACCUCUCUGUAUGAGUGAAACAAGCGCAGGGGCAAAUGUCUGCUGAAUUGAUGGUCACUACACAGGCGACAGUAACGGCAACGGCGACGAAAAGCGGGGCAUUUUUUAACCCGAACCAGAGAGAAAGGAAAACAACCGAUGAAUGUGAAAGAGAAAGGGGCAAACGGACAUGCGAGUUAACGAACGAACAGAAACAUACAUUCAAGUUACGAUCGAAUAUCAGAUGUUGUCCAUCUUCAAAAGUUCUGAGCCUCUCUAUUUCUGUGAAAAACACUUCGGCGGUAUAGUCGAAAAGACAGUCGCAGUGGGUGCUAUCUGAGCUUUGUGAGGAAUCGAGUAACUUGUCAUCGAAAAUCUAGUAAUUUGCUCUGUAAAAAGUGCGUACGUGUGUGUGCGUAGACCGUCAAUGCAACAAUAACAGCAUUUGGCGACCAGAAGCACGAACAAGGGCCACGGGCAGUCACAGCAGCAGGGCCAGCCGCAGCAGGAACAACAACAGCAGCACACCUGUCCAUGCCACAACCAAUCCUGUCGGCCUAGCGUCAUAUCACAAGUCGGUGAAGCGAACCAUAAAGCGAUCGGCCUAUUUACAGGUCAGCUGUUUCGCCCUGCCUGUUUACCCGCUCUUCAAGUCGUAUUUAAGUCGAAGUACUUUUCGGCGCGCAUGAAGCCUUUGUGUGGCAUUAUCGUAAGUUAAACUGCUACAAGAAGACCGAGCUGCACUGAUAGUAAGACGAGCAUAUGGAUAAGUAAGGCAUUGUCAUCAACGACGACAACUCAGAAGAUAACCUCAUCGGGUAGACCAACAGUACAAACAAUACUUGCCUCUGACAAAAACGAAGAAGCAUGGUAAAAAAAAUGCCAGAUUACAGUAAAGCAUCAGUGUAAUUAAGCACAUGUGUAUCACAGAAAGAGUCUGACGUUUUUAUUAAUUAAAUUUGCCUGAAAGCGUAUCAUGACAGAAAAUCUGGUUUUGCCACAAUAAAGUAGGAAGAAUUUACGAUUUUAUAAGCAGUUCCGUAAGCCGUACACACAGAGCUCAAUGGAGUGAGCUUCUAUAUUUAGCUCUCUCGGUACCUCUCUCUUUCUUUAUUUCUCUAUUUCUUUCUUUUUAGAUCUAACGGGCUUUUGUACUGGAAGCAAUCGAGAAAACACCGUGUACGGAUCUUUCCUGUUGUUUGGCUGGGAAAGGAGGAAACCAGCGGGUUUCUUUUAAAGGAAAACGAAAUGCAGCUUAUUUUCUACUGAACACGUUUAGAAACAGAGUCAAAGAGCUAGAAUGGUUAUGUAGAAGCUCCACUGAAAGCAAACGGCUUACCCAGAAGACGAAAGAUAAGUAGUAGUCCUUUCGGUUUACUGCAUCUUAUCAAACAUCCUACGUCGGGCUGUCUGUGUCUCAGGCCAGUCCCCGACCCAGAGUGUGCUAAACCCCGUGUAGUAGCUUUGCUUCCCCAGACAGCUGCUGCUGCCCUAAGGGAAAAGUGUACCAGGAUCUGAGAGCGUUCAUUGAAAAUCACGUAUCAGGAAGCCAGCCAACAAGUACUGGCCGCACGGAGAAUUGUACCGUUGAUAGCACCGGUACUCGAAGACCGAGAAAAAGAUUCCGAACAGGAAAAAAACACAAGGCAAGACAACGCUUACAACAGCAUAGGCUCAUCUGACAAAAGGAGAGACAGAGAGCGAUUCCGACAUAGAGGAAGAAAUAUAUAUAUAUAUAUAUAUAUAUGCCUGUAAAGGAGAAUAGGCCACCUCAAGGGAAGCCGGCACCGGCCAAACUACUGCCGCCGGGUUGGUUGCGUUAGUAACCUGACAAUAUAUUAGUGUUGGUAGAAGUACUAUGGUUUCGAUCUCCAAUUCAUUCUGACGGUUAUUUCCUCCGGGAUGUAGGGCAUCAAGGCAGUGCGGUUCACGCAGUUCUGAUCGAGUCGCUGGCGUAGUAGGACUGCCACCAUUCGACUUUACGGCGUCUGUACGUAACCUUGUCUAUACCGUUGCUGCUGUUGUUUCCAUAGUAAUUCAGUCCAACUCACCACAUCGCCGUGUAUGUUGCGUGUGGUUCAUCACUGCUAGUAGUCGUUGUCGUUGUGGUACGCCCGGCACAUUGUGUCGUCGCACCGUGGCGUUCUUGUUGCGAGCAUUGUCUGUGAGCGGCGAGGGUCGGCGCGGCGUCCCAGGUCCUAUUUGGCUGAGGGAGUGGGCGAGCGCUGCGGCAACGACAGCCACGCAGCAGCCGUAGCAGCGGCGGCAGCGACAGCGACGCUGGCGGCGGCAGACGGACAGCUCGGAAAUUCAGCAUAGCUCAGCUCAGCGUGCCGACUCGCAGACCCGCCGGUGCCGUGGCAAAAAGACCAGCAUCAGCAGCACCAGAAGCGCCACCAUCACCAUCUUCGCCGCUCUUACCAGUUCCACCAGCAUUACUAUUAGUAGCGGUGCUGCCAGAACGGUGGCUAGUCAGAGCCGGGCGGCAAUUGAGUGCCAGCGCGUCGAGUCGAACCCGUUUUUCGUGCCCCUGUACCUACUCACCGUAUCCGUUACGUCGUUAAAUUGUUCUGAUAUAGUAACGUUUCAUUGUUUCUAUUGAGAGCUGCUGCUUAAACCGACUGCCGGUGCUGCUGCUGCUGCUGCUGCUGUUACAUGAAGAAAUCAAAGCGACAACUGCGGCAGCGUCGAGCUGCUGUGGCAUCGCCAUCGAAACGAUACAUCCCUGUGACAGUGCUAUAGCUGUUGCUAACAGUGAUCAUACUCUUCGAAGCGUCGGCCGAUCGGUGAUUAUGACUGCGUCUGCCACAGCGUCGGCAAAGGUAGCUAACUAGCUAGCUAAUUACAGAGCUGGUAUUUUUCGAACGAAACGGCAGCGGUAACUCAAAAACGUGUACGAGUCAAUCGUCAGGGAGCGUGUUGCGAGGCGCUUGCGAUAACUCAACGGGCAUUGCUGCGCUAAACAAGCGAUUAGUAUCCAAGCGAAAAAGAUCUACGGAGUGCUUCUACAGCGCUACACUAAUAUAUAUCCGAAGCGCAGGAACUUAGCGAAAGCAUAUCGUGGUAAUGAGGUUCGUUCAUGCGGCGAGGCACAUGCAAGCCCCUAAAGGACCGCAACAUUAAACGUCCAACAAACGGCAAACUGAUAGCCGCCAUGCACAAUAUCAGGCUUUUCACGACAGCUUCGCCAAUAGCCAAGUUAAGCUGGACACAGUGAAGUGAUAAAAAGGGGAAUCCGAACUAAAUCACCCCCGCCUUUUCCCAGAUUGUAUAGACGAAGGGAUUGUGUGCUCAACUGUUCUUCUUUUUUUUUUUUUUCGUGUGUGGUAAUGGUAGUGUUUUUUUUAGUUGUUUUUCCCAACAACUCGUGGAUUUUCUAGUUAGUAAACGGAUUUACCGUCAUUGUAUCCUCACGUAUGUGCUUCAGAGUGUUUAGCGAGAUCGCGCUUACUUCUAGUGCUAUUCAUUACUAAACCCUGCAUGAAACUGAGCGAAAAUAAGGAAAACUCAUUUUUUCCUGAACCCAAUAACGGUAGUCGAUCAGCUGUGUCGGCAAGUCAGCUGCGUGAUAUCCAUACUCGGCUAACUUCGUUAUCGAUGCUACAACAGUAAAACCGACAAAGAAGAGGAACGUAUUGGAUAGAAGGUGCGCGGCCGGCAACACUGAUCGUGUUCAUUCUAUCUCCUUUCUCCUCGUUUGCGUAUCUGUGUCUGUGCGGCCACUGUUUUGCGGCAGGCGUAUCGCUGCUGCUGUUACUACAGGAUACUGUCAUUUCUAUAGGUUUUGCUGCAGCUACCCCCAAGGUUUCAUGUGUUUAGCUGUGCGAUCGACGGUGCACUGAGUGCGUUCUUUUGGAGUCGUUGUGUGUCUGCUUAAUAGAGCGAGGCGAUUACUGCAGCCUUUUCUCUGUUUCGUCUCUUUAUUUGGAGGCCAACAGGACUAGUUUGCUCUUUGUUGCGUUCACUUCGCUGCAGCUUCGAUAGACUUCGGGCUUAGAGGCCCGCGUGUGAAAAGCCAAGGCCAUAGACGAAAGACAGAGUGGACUGUCAUCGACACGAUCAACCCUAACGAACAACACCGCCGGUGGCGGAUCGCGUCGGAGUUAGUUUACUCCGGUGAUGGGCGAGAGCUCACUUUUGCUCGCCGACAACAACAAUAACCUGUUCUACGUGGCUCAGAACAAACCCUAUUUAUACUAUAUCAGUGGGGCAUCAUCUGGCGUCCAGAACACCAUUGUUGGACGAAACGGCCAUCAUCAACAACAACAGCUCCAACAGCAUAAUCACACAAUCCACAACAACAAUAAUAACAGCAACAAACAACAUCAUAUCGGUAGCCACAGCGGCAACCAGAACAAUAACAACAACAAAAGUCGGAACCGAUCAUCCGCCGUCAAAACGAGGGACAACAACAGACAGGCGCAGCCAGUGGCUACUGCUGGCGUUGGAGUUGCGAGCCUCCUUGGAGGCAAUAUCAACAGCCUAAGCAGUCUGAGCAGUCUGAUAGGCAUCAUGCACGGCUCACAGACCCUGCAACAGACGCAGCACGCGAUGCAGCAGAGUCUGAAUAACCAUACAAACGUACAUGUGGGCAUCGCUGCGACGACAGGUGGGGUACCCCAUCCAGCCAACACAGCCAGUAUAGCCGAUUAUCUCGCGCAGCUGAUAAAGGACAGAAAACAACUCGCAGCAUUUCCCAAUGUGUUUCUUCACGUCGAACGGAUUCUCGAUGAAGAAAUCUGCAAGGUUCGGGCAUCACUUUUCCAGAUCAGUGGUCGGGCAAAGGAGCCGCUCGUGCUCCCUGAUCCGGAUGGACCCGUAAUUGCCAAGACCGAAAAGGUCUACGUCCCAGUCAAAGAACACCCCGAUUUUAAUUUCGUCGGGCGCAUCCUCGGCCCGCGAGGUAUGACCGCAAAACAGUUGGAGCAGGAGACCGGCUGCAAGAUCAUGGUUCGAGGCAAGGGUUCUAUGCGCGACAAGAAGAAGGAGGAUGCAAAUCGUGGAAAACCGAACUGGGAGCACCUCAAUGACGAACUUCAUGUUGUAAUAAGUGUUGAAGAUACAGAGAAGCGUGCAGACAUCAAAAUUCAGAGAGCAGUUGAAGAGGUCCAGAAGCUUUUGGUUCCGGUAACUGAGGGCGAAGAUGAGUUGAAGAAGCGUCAGCUCAUGGAGCUCGCCAUCAUUAACGGAACAUACAGGGACUCAAGCACGCUUGGCAAGUCCGCACUUAAUGGUGCCGCGUUUCCCGGGGCCGCAACCAGUUUGGAUGCGUUCUUGGCUGCUCCACAGGAACUUCAGCGGCUGUUCAAUGCCGCAGCAGCCGCUAGCGUUGGGUCCGUGGCUGGUGUUGGUGGGGUUGGUGGAGUAGGCGGAGUCGGAGCGCCUGUGGCUGCCUUAGCUGCAUCGCCCUUGCGUACAGGAACGCCUCUAGGAGCACCCCUCAUUCUUUCGUCGCCAAGGCUACCUGCAGCUGUUCUUAACGGCGUGCCUGGCGGAAGUUCAGCUGCACCUCCCCCAACCGCUGCUUUAAUGGGAGCCGAUCCCUCGUUGCUGUAUCACCACGCCGCGCAUCACUACACACCAGCCGACUAUCACCAAUACGCGAACGCUCUGCUCACGGCUAGUACACAGAAUCAACAAGCCAUGGACGCCUACGCGACCGCACAGGGUGGGGGCACACCUGUAGCCGCAGUCGGCCAGGAUGUGACAAGCGGUAAACCAACCGGUGGUCGUAGGGGGGUCUCAGGUGUUCGGGACCACCCGUAUCAGCGGGCGGUCUAAGAUCGGCUCUGUCGAAGGGCGGCUACCAGGCUACUUCAGGCCUAACUGCGGCCCUUACCGCACCGCUCAAGAGUAGUCUUGAAACGGUCGAACCGCUCUCAGGGAUCAAUCUCACAUGGACUGGAUGGAUCACUCUGGCUAGAUCAGGGGUGACUCCAGAUGGAUGGUUGGAUGUAGGCUGUCCAGAACGUUGCAACUGUUGCAGAUGUCUCGCCUACAGCAGCAACAACAACAGCAUCUCCUACAGCACUCGCAACAACAGCAACUACAAAUGAUAACUCCUCAACAACUACAUAACUACUACUACAACAGCUACUAUCACCGUUGUCGUUAACUCGUCGAAUGCCACUGUCCGCUGAGUAUAACCGCAUCAAGCAAUCUGUGACAGCCAGUGCUGCCAUUACUACUUCUUUACUUCUUCAUAAAUAAGACAAGCGAACAGCCAACCAAUCAGUUCAGUCUUUGUUAUCGUCCCGUCUGUCGAUGUAAAGGCCAACUAUAAGAAGCGUUAAAAUAAACACGUCUCAUGAUAAUAAGUCGAAAUAAUAAUAAUAAUUUAAUAAUAAUAAUAAUAAUAAUAAUAAUAAUUAAUGCAUUCGUCACUAACGAAGAAGAUCUCGAAAUCGUGCGCACGCGCUCAUUCUAAUUGCUGCUUAUGGUCUCAGUUAUGAGGGACGAGCCUGCCGACCCACCUUACCCCCAGCAUAUCACGCACAGCUCUCACUGACUAACAAGCUGUCAACUAUAGAAGAGACGUUGUUGUAAUAAGCAUUUUACAGGAGAUUGCCACGUUUGUUGAUAAAUGGAAACGAUCAAGAUCAAGUGAAGGCGGCGAUGAAACCGAGGAGUCUAUGUGGACGAUGUGAGCAAGACACGUUGUGGUGAUCCGAGGCGUUAAACGCGGAACCGGUGCACAGGCUUCACACGAGGAGACCGACUUUGAAGAACAGCUCCUGAGAGCCGGAACGACACUUGCGUCUUUGUGGAUGAAUCAUUUAGAUUCUCUGCUUUAGGCUUUAAACAAUACUCGUCACUGGAUGUAGGUAUGAUCGAAUCGACUUAGUAAUAAUAAAUUGAAUACCGCAUAUCGCGAGUCCGAUAAAGUCAUACAAAGAGAACACCAGGUCAUCCAUACUGGAGUCAAUGACGAGCAGUUGAGCACCCUGAAAACGUUGAUGUGUGAUCUAGUGUUCGUAAUAGUAGUAUAUUCGGUGCCAAGCUUUCAUCCUCUUUUUUUUUUCGAAGCUGUACCAAUGGGUAAGCAUUCGCCCAGUCGAAUAUAGCGGAAAGAGAUGUGUGCUAUAGCUUUGCGAAUAACGCUUGAACACGUGCAAGUAGAUAUCUGGCGUGUCCUAUCCAAUAGUGUAAGUCCUCAUGGAGCGAGAUACUACACCGUGUUCAAUUUACUCGAAUCUUUCGUUAUCAAAUUUGGGUUGACCUAGGCUAUUGAAACACAAAACGUUAGUCGAAUAACAAAACCGGGUAUAAACAUGCACCUAUUUCACGGAGAGCUCACAAAACCGCUAAAACUUCUACCUCGAAAGAACAGUGGCUGCUUUGGACAGGAAUGAAGAACACAAGCGCUCACUGUGAUUCAUACAGUAAGCAUAUAGCGCUUGAUUUUGGUACUUGUUCUCAAUACCACGUCUGAUGGACGUAGCAAGUUGCGCCUCACCUAAACGCAUCUAUCUAUUGGUCAUAGUUGAGUAAACACCUCGCUUUACGAACCGUAUAAGAACAAAGUCAUCGUCGAAUAUUGGCCGAGUAUUUCUAAAAGUGCGAUUAGACAUUAUAGGAGGACAGUCUAGAUGGCUGUUGUACAUAAUGAUGGAAUCUUUCGUUUCUACGAUGACCUGUAGUACAAUACUUUUAAUACUCGUCUCGCUGUAAGGAGAGGGCUACCGCCCUUGUCGGUGGUUAGCUUUAGACCCUAUAUUUUGAUUUUUCUGUGAUUACAAUCAUCAGCUAGGACCUGAACGUUGUUCACGAAAAUCAUUUAUUAGCACAAUAUAGCAACAUCAUAUCUAACAGCCCGGUAUACUAGAUACAAUUGAAUUAGUUUAGUUAGUGUUCCAUGUGACCCACCAUUGAGGCAUACGUGUCGUAAUAGUACGUUCUCGAGCCGAACUGGCCGUGUGUUGCUAUGCCCGAAAGCAGGCCAUUCAAUAUGUACAAUAUAAGAGUUUAGAUCUACGAUACACAUUCAAUAUACAAACUCUCGUAUACUAGGUACACGAAUGACUGCAUUUAGAUUGACUAUCCAUUAUUAUGAGUAAACAGUACUUUGCGAAACAAGACCACAUUGCAUGCCGUACGGUCUACAAGGGCAUCUGUUCAAGGUUGUAUCGAAUAGGAGAUCUGAACUAUUUCGGAAUUUUUUUCUCCAUACUAUACACACAUAUACAUCUCCAUAUACCCGUAAGAAGGGAAUGUGGUUUACAUUGGGCGAGAAGUGUUUAAAUCACUCCUUUGACCGAUCAUUUGUUCGUAUUAGUGAGAAGUUACGAAAACUUGAUCAAAUGGAUGAUCAGGUGCAAUGAGUUUCUCAUUGCCUCUCGACUAUGCGAAAUGUUUAAUCUUAGACAACUUACAACGCGGCAGUGACUACCUAAUUUAUUCAGCAUUCAUAUACCUAAGUUAAGAGACAAAUUGUUCACUGAUGGUUUUGUGGUGCCCGCCUAAUGUUCGAACGUCUUUAAGACUGAGGUGAUUUAUAUACUAUUGUGUAUACAGUAAUUAGGCAUCAUAAUUGUGUAGCUGAGGUGUGCAAGGACGAGGUACAUAAGCACCGAGGACUAUAUAUAUAUAUCACAUUAAAUAACAGGACGCAAAAAACAAUGUUUGAAUCAAACAACCAUAACCUCGAGAUUAUUUAUGUCGUAUGGAUCAUAGGCGCUGUCAAGGGCACACAGCUCUCUAUUAUACGUGUUUUGUGUGGUAUUAAAUACACGAUUUCGUUAAAGUGGCAGCUUCAUUCAUCCUUAGCGUGGUGAUGCGUGAGGCACGUAUUGUUCUUUAACCGGUUUUCAAUGUAAACGGCUGUAGUAAAUGCAAAAACCGAGUGCAAUCUUAUUGACGAUGGCAAUACUGUUAAUAAACACAUAUUGAUAUCGUAUUCUAUUUAAAACAAAUUUUGACAUAAACGACGCGUAUUUUUACCAAGUAACCUAUUCUCAGCUGCGCUGACUUUUUUUUGUAGGAUUUUUUCUUAUAUUGUAUCUUUAGGCUUCAUUUCAGCGAUAAAUAGGCGCGCUUGUCCACAUCAUUGCCGUUCACCACACUGCGGUUAUUAUGAGCCGUGUACAAAUAGACAGGUACAUAACUACUGGACUGACUUCACUGGAAAUAGCGAUCAUUCAUAACUCUGUUCGGUCAGACACAUAUUCAGUUAGUCAGCAUAAGGAGUAGAUGGGUUCCUGUAGUUUCUAAAAAAACCAGACCAGGGUACCUCGUCCCACCGCAGUCCAGACGUGGACGAGAGGCUUUCUGUUAAUUGAACCCGGUGCAUAGAGAGAACUCGGAAAAGAGUCGUGUUGAACUAGCUGAAGUAAGCCACCAGAAGAAAGCAGAUAAUGCUGCAGUAAUAGUUGUCUAUCGUGUGACGUUAGAACAAAGCUUAGGUGUGUGUGCAUGUGUUUAUAUGACCAUAUGGUGUGGCCGGCCCGUAGCCGUUCUGCUUCUUUUUAUUAAACCUCCGUACAGGUUUCAAUUAUUUUUGCAAAUUUUGACACAGGCACGCACUCCAAAGAAAAAUAGCCACUCAUCAAACUGAUUGUUCUUGCCAGGUCCGAUGCUGCUUUUAUGCAAGCAAGCUUAAUUACCGGCCAACACUUAGUAAUCGUAUACAUAUCGCACAGAAAUUGACAAAUCAAUUUGCAGUGACGUAACUUGAGGAAUGCAUUUGCUCAGGAUAAGUGCCUCUAGAACACAGGGACAGUAGUAAAUACUACUUAAGGGGAAGUUGAAUCUCAAACUAUUGAAACAUUCGAUUUUUUGUGGCUAGACAGCUUCUGCACUCUUUUAAAAUAUAUUGAUCUAUACAAAAAGUUAAUUGUGGCCGUAAGUACCAUCAACUUCAUGGUCAGCUCCAGAAGUUGUUUAGCCUAUAAGUCGCGCACAUGAACACAGAUAUGUGCACAGUUUGUUAAAGUUUGAAAGGUCACAAUAUAGAACAAUUGAAGUUUAAUCACCUGACAGGUUAGCCGCUAUUUCGAAGGAGAACCUUCCCGCAUUCUGGCACCUCUGUCCGUCAUGCAGGCACUAAUAUCACUGGACAAUCGUCCGUUUCAGAAUGGCUGAUCAACGCCAAACCGCGGCACUGGUUUAAACAGGCCCCUGAUGCCGUAGUUUAUUGCCGUUAGUGCCUAUAUUAAUGCCGGGCUGCACUGUUGCUAGCAUAGUUAUUUUCUGAGUUGGCAGUCAGCUAGGUUAUAGACUAUUUGGGGACGUUGUAGGUAGACGGUGACACAGCUGUACUAGUGUCUUCUAGAUAACACAUAGCAAUAUAUAGCGCGAUUCCUUAAACUAUUUUGAUCUUGAUACUUCUUGCCGCAACAGCCUUUGCCUAAAUUCUGCUAAGAAUGGCAGGCUCAUUAUACAACCAUGACCAGGCCAUAACCCAUUGUCGAAAAGCUUUUUAUUUCAUUUCAGUCUGAAUGUAGCCUAUGCGCAAUACAGGCUGGGAAAUAGCAUCACGGGCUCGAGAUGAACUGUUCGCUCGGAGCAAGGCUCACUUGUAUGCUUAUAGUAUACAAAUUUCUUGUCUAUUGGCUAUGACUAUACAAUCAUUGACAUUUGACUAUAUAUAGCUAAAAGCCAUUUAGACUCCAACCUGUCGGCCAUUCAGUAGUCAAGUUGGGCUGCUGAUUUUGUCGCACGAUUUAAUCCGUAACAGGCACGUUAAUGUUUGAUCAUGUUGAUCAAACAGGUCUCACGUGGAGGCAGGCCAUGUUGCGGUUAAACUGUAGUGUACAUCAUUAUCGGACAUCACUGUAGUUUGCCUCGAGCAGACUUCGUUUACAAAGCAGAAACAGUCUUGAACAGAAGCUGUUAACUUUUUUCAUAAAACAGUUAGGUAAAUUAUCAUCUAUAUAUUGAUAUUAUUAUAUAUAGACGACAAGCCUUGUGCUUCUGCAAUAAUAUUGUGGUGCAACUGUUGAUGAAAUAUAUAUACAUAAAUGUGUAAUGAGAAUAUAACUACAUUAUAUAUGAAGGAAAAUAGAAAAGUUAUCGCAAUAUAUAACUAUUAUUAUAUCGUAUAUAAAUAAAUAAUUAUAUAUA